UCCAUUUAUUAUCUUUAUCAAUUUAGGUUGGUUGAUAAUGAUAUAGAAAGGGAUAUCCAUUUAACUGAUUUGUCUGCAUUCAGCAAUCCGAUUUUGCUUUUCUGUUGAUCAGAUACACUAAGGACGAAUUGGUCGAAGUCUAACUUUUCCCUCUACACACACAAUUCACAGAUUAUAAAACUAUAGAUACAAAAACCAAGGUGUUUAGGGAAGGUUCAGGGAACUUCUCUUCAAUCAGACCCACAAUAACCAAGGUGUUUGAGAGAGAGAGAGAGAGAGAGAGAGAGAGAGAGAGAGAGAGAGAGAGAGAGNAGAGAGAGAGAGAGAGAGAGAGAGAGAGAGAGAGAGAGAGUACACAGAGGCGAGUUCAGGUGGAGAAGAAAGUGAAGGUUCAGGGAACUUCUCUUCAAUCAGACCCACAAUAACAUCAGAAUCAGAAAUCCAUUUGUCAUCGAAUUUUAUCAACGGAACUUUCCCAUUUGGAUUCACUUCAAGAAACCUACAUGAACCCACAAAAAAAAUCAUCUAUUAAAACCCUACAAUCAAAAAGGCGACAUUUUUCUUGGGUAAAUUCAAGAUUCUUAAGAGAAUCAACAUCACCAUUCGGGUUUGCUGUCCAGAUUAAUAAGAAGGAUUGUGUAGGUGACCUUCUUCUCUUCCAGUGUCAAAAGAACCUUUUGACAAAAUGGACCUAAAUUCAUACCAAAAAAAAAACCCACAAAAAGAUCAAGAAAUCUUGCUAAAAUAAAAUCUCUAGGAAUCAUGAGAGAGAGAGAGAGAGAGAAUGAAUUACAGUCUCCAAGAAUAUCAGGAGCACCGACAGCAGCUUUGCAACAGACCUCAAUCGCCAUUAGAAUUGAAACUUAUAAUUUGCUGCUUGUUCUAUCGAAUUGGGUGAGUUGUGUGGAUAUUUAUGCAGGACUUGGAGCGCAUACUGUCGUUGAUUGUCGACAGAACCCAAUGAAGGGAAGGAUGUUUCAUAUGCUCCGUAGCGAAACGGAACAAUUGAAAGAUUCACGUUUAACAAACCAAAAGGCAUGAUCGAAAAGUUAAAGAAAGAAAACGGAUACCCACCCUAUCUAGUUUCUAGAACAAGCAAAUGACUGUUAAACAGACACUGUGUUUGUUCAUGGAUUUAAGUAUUCUGGUGAAGACGUUUCGUAAAAUGUUUUUAAGGAUGUUCAAACAUCAAAAGGAAACUACUAAAAUAUGAUAUAUUUUCUAGAAGAUAAUCGUGAUGCCAAUGGUAGAUGUAGGGUGCAACUAAAUCAAGCCAUUUCGCCGGAUACUCAUGACCAACUUGAAAAUUACUCGAGCUCGUGCUACUCAAGUAUAUGAUCGAGUCGAGCUUGAGUAUUGAAAUAUACACCUCGUGAGCUUAAGAGCUAGUUAUAUUUAUAAUUUUACCCUUUAUUUUAGACAAACCUAUAAAAAUGUCUUUAUGGUAUAUGUAUUUUUGGGGUUUUAGUCCAAACCACGAUUUUUUUGGAUUAGUGGUCCUUUUGAGGUAAUUUCGUUGCCUUUUUUGUCCCUCAGUAAACUAAAAUGACUGUAAUACCCUUAUGAUUUUUUUUAAAGAAAAUACUUAAUUAACUUGGGCCUCUCUCUCUCUCUCUCUCUCUCUCUCUCUCUCUCUCUCUCUCUCUCUCUCUCUCUCUCUCUCUCUCUCUCCUAUACGUUAUUCUCCUGCGCCAUCACCCACUGUUGAACUCUAAAUUGAGAAGAUGAACUCCAAAUUCUUCCCCACUGACUAUCGAUUUUCCAGUGACAUCCUUUAUUUCUUUGAUUCCAUUAACCCCCAAACCUAUAAAUGAUAUAAUACAUGCAUACGAAAUCGAUUUUUCGGAAAUCAAUUGUUCUUGAAGACCCAUAAGCCUUCUUUCAGAUUCAGAAAUUGAUUUCUAGUUCCAAAAGCAACCCCAGACAUCCGGUUUUUCUUGAAGAGCAAACAUAAAAUUGAUUGUUUGUAUGCGUGUGUGUUUGACUUGAAGAGCAAACAUAAAAUCGAUUUUUCAGAAACCGAUUGUUCUUGAAGACCCAUAAGCCUUUGAUCUAGGAAUUUUCAGAAAAACGCAUCCAAACACCCCCCCUUGUCAUCAUUAAAUUGAUCAUCCAAACAUCUUUUAAAACUGGAUAAAAGAACUCACGAUUCCAUAUCCAAAAUCAAUCAACAAAGGUUCCAGAUCCAAAAAAAAAAAAAUACUCAUUAAAGUGCACAAAUCGAAGUAUCUACGAAAUGCUUACAUGCAUCUCCACAUCCAACCUGGUAAACCUCAUAUAGUAUCCUAAAGAGGUGUAAAACAUACCUAGUAAAGUGAUAUUGAGUUGGGAACAAAAUUCAAAUCAAACUAUGGAGUUUGGGAACAAAAUCAUAAUUGAAAUCUGAAGUUUGGGUUACAGUGGAGAAAUACGAAAGGGAAAGGAACAAAAUCAAAAUAUAAAGUUGAGAUCGUCGUCGGAAGUGUGGAUGGAACUUCCAUCGUGUCAUCGUCCCCUGGAUUUGUAAGAAUUUGGGUUAUAGGGGAGGAAGACGUAUACAAAGGGUUGGGUUUGGUCAUCGUUGAUUGUAUAUUGUGAUUCAAAUGGGAAAAAAAUGGUGAAUCUUGAACCCUCGCUUCAUUUUUUACAUCUGAACUCUUCAAAGAUGUAAGGCUACUAUGGUUCAUCUAUGGAAUUUUGUGUGUGAGAGAUCUUUUUGUGUUUGAAGUUGCAGAUACGGAUUAGUUCUAGUAUACUUUUGUUCCUGAUUGUUUGUAGUUCUUGCAUAAAUAAAAAGUCAUACGAGAGAGAGAAGUUGGGUCCUCUUUUUAUUUAUCAAUUAGUAAAAUAGAUAAUUAUAUAUAUUAAAUUAAGAAAAUAAAAGAAACAUGAAAAAUAAAUACAUGAGGGGCAUUACAGUCAAUCAGUUUACCGAGAGACCAAAUAUGCAUCGAAACUAGGCCAAAAUGACUAUCAAUCCAAAAAAUUCGAGGUUUAGACCAAACCUCAGAAAAUGCAUAACACAUGGACCAUUUUUGCAAUUUUGUCUUUAUUUUAUUCAUAUUUUAUAUAAUCGGACCGAGUCGAAUCGAACUCACGAGCUUAAUCGUAUUUCUAUUUCAAUUUAAUGUAAUUUUAUCUUUUUAAUAAUUAAUCGAGUCAACUUAAGCCGAGCUCGAAAGUGACAAUUACUUUAUCAAGAUCGAGCCCGAUUUGAAAUUGAGGCUUGAGUCGAGAUCGUGUUGAAUUUCAAGCCCAAGUUUUUCAGUCGGGUCAAGUUUCAAGCUCGAUUACACCCUAGGUAGUUGUAUCUCCAAUCUUUAGGGCGGCAUGAUGAUAACUCAACGUUGUGGCGUCAUCGGUUGGGUCAUAUGAGCGAGAAGGGAAUGUCGAUUUUCAGUAAACAAGGAUAACUUGGUGGAGAUGUAAUUAGUAAUAUAAAGUUUUAUGAAACUUGUAUCAAAGAAAAGCAACAUACGGUGAAGUUCAGGUAUAGUUAACAAACAACCACUAAAUAAAUUCUUAAGUAUGUUCACUCAUGUUUAUGGUGACCCUCAUCGGUGAAAUCACAUAGUGGAUACUCGUAUUUUGUGAUGCUCAUUAAUGACUUCUCAAAAAAAAAAAAGGAUUUGGCUGUAUUUUUUUAAAAUGAAAAAACAAGGUGUUUGGGUGGUUAAAGGAGUGAAGAAUGUGUAAGAAAACGGGCAUGAAAACAAGUCAAAACACUAAAAACGGAUGAUUGGUUAGAAUUAUGUAAUGCACCAUUUAACGAAUUCUAAAAAAGGAAAGCAUAUUUAGGCACCGCACUGUACGAUACACAUUAAAACAAAAACUGUUUGUAGAAAGAAUGAACCAACCAUUAAUACAACAUGCAAUAUGUAUGUAUUUGUUCAUUAGUAAAAGCAAUUUUUAGGCUAAAGUAGUAAAUAUUGCUUGCUAUUUGGUAAUAGAUCUCCAUUCAGUUGUAAUCGACUUAAAGACUCUUCAAAAGGUUUGUUCUUGUAAACCUUUUGAUUAUUCUUAUCUAUGUAUAUUUAUUGUCAUGUUAAUGAUGGUAAACUGAAACCGAGAACUAGGAAAUGAAUAUGUUUAGGAUAAGCAGUUGGAGUUAAAGUUAUAUCGAUUAUGGUGUGCAGAAUAAGGAAAACUCUAAAAAAAAUACUAUUAAUAGAGAUGUUACCUUUUAUGGAUCUACUAUAUCUUAUCAAAUAUGAGAGAAUACGAGUCUUUAAAGAAAAAAAAAUGAUUGUGGUGAUAUGUAGAAGGUAGAUUAAAACAGACUCCUAACAGAGAAUACAAGUCUUUAAAACAAACUCUUUUAAAGGCCCAUGGCAAGUGCAUUUAGUAUAAAGCUUGAGCAACUGGAUGUAGAAACAUCAUUCUUUCAUGGUAAUCUAGAAGAGGAUAUUUAUGUCUCAUCCCCAAGGGUUUCUUGACUACAAGGAAGAUCAUGUAUAUUUGUUGAAGAAAUCUAUUUAUGUUUUGAAACAAUGUCCAAGUCAAUGAUAUAAAGGGUUUGAUUUAUUUAUGAUAUCUCAUUGUUAUGUUUGAAUCCGGUUGGAUAAUUGCGUCUAAUCAAAGAAAUUUUUUUAUGAUUUCGAUAUUUGUUGUGAUAGAUAACAUGUUAAUUGCAACCAAGAAUAUGGUUGAAUUUAAUGCCUUGACACUUUAUUGAAAUGAGAGCUCCAUAUGAAGGACUUGGGUGCAACAAAGAAGAUAUCAAGUAAGGAGAUCUAGAGGGAAAGGAAAGUAAGUAGGUUAUACAAUGCAGGCCGACUUGUACUCGUUUAGCAGCAACUUUAAACUCGACUAUACCAAUUAUAAAUAAAUAGAAAAUUUACAUGACCAAGAGUUCUGUAUUCGAGUGUUGUUGGAAGUCUCAUGUAUGUUAUGGUUUGUACUAGACUUGACCUGCAUCACACCGAUAGUAUUAAGUAGGUUUAUGAGUAGUUUGGAAAAUGAGCAAUCAAGCAUAUCAUGUGAUACUUGGAAGGACCAAUAAAUAUUUGUUUGGUUCAUGGUUUUGGUACAUAUAGUGAUGGUUUGGUUGUCUAUGCAGACUCGGAUCAUGGUGAUGACUUUGUGAAGAGACGAUCACAAACGUUCUAUAUCUUUACCUUAUCUUGAUGACUAAUUAGUUGGAAGGCAACAUUACAACCCACAAUUUCCUUAUUCACAAGUAAGGCAAAGUACAUGUCAAUGACCGAAGGGAUGAAGGAAUGAAUAUGGCUACACGGUCCCAUUCAGAGUCUUAUGUUGAAGGUGGAGAGGCUCACUUUGUAUUGUGACGGUGAAAGUGUGUUAAGUCUGACAAAGAAUCCAAUACAUCAAGUAUAUCAUGAUAAUACAAAGCAUAUUUACAGCUAAACUUUUCAUCCGUGAUGUUCUUGAAGAAGCUUGAUUCUCUACUUGGAGAAAACUAUUGAAGAGAACCCAAAAGAUAUGUUGACUAAGGUGUUACCUACAGAUAAGUUCAAGCUAUUCUUAAUUUUGGUAAAUGUUUGAAAAAGGUGAGCCAUUCAUGGCAGUGAAAUGGUUCUUGAAGAAGUCUUAGAGUUAAGGUAGAAUUGUUAGACAUGUUACUUUGAAUUGUAUGGAAAUUCAAAUGGUUUUAUGGCACAACCCAAGUCUGCUACAUGUUCUUGUAUUUAAAAAAUCUUGUAUAUGCAGGCAGCACAAUAUGUACUCGAGUUAUGGCUGCAAGAUUCAUGAUGUAACAUACGUAAGAGUAGUAUUACAUUGUGAAUAAGAUAUCUCCAUUUCCUACCCAUGGAUCGAAGUCAUCAAACCACAUCUUUGUGUCAUCUCAUUAAUUUUUUGUAUCUAUUUAUUUCCCUCUUCUUUUCUCUUUAACACCUUGCAUGACAAUAUCUUUAAGGAAAAGACACUUCGAAUUUCAUUGAGAUGUAACUAUGGUUAUUAUAAAACUUGGUUUAAUCUUCUCACCAUUUAACCCGAGUUCCGACCCAACUUCUAUUGUUUAAUCAAAAGGCAACAGCAAUACACAAAGACUCAGAUUGGGGGUUGAAUACCCUGCAACUUUUGUUUGUAGUUUCUUGUUGUAAACAUAGAAAAUAUAUUGCAUUUGUAAUGACAAUGCAAAGCCAACUUGUGACAAUACUUAAAUAAUGCAUAUGUGUAAUCGCAUUUGGCUUACUAUCAAACAUCUUCCAAUUUCCUAAAUAAUUAAUAUAUUUAAUACUAAUACAAAAAUCUAUUGACUAGGGUAACGAUCUAAUAUUUAUUUGAAUAAAGCAACUCAUGCAGCAUUUUGUAAACACUUUGAUAUACUUUGAAUACCAUAUUUGUUUUAGCUCAAAAGUUAAAUUUUACUCAUUAGACCCAAUAGCAUCACAAACCAUAGGUUUUUAUAAAAUAUAUCCAGUAACAUAAAGUGAAGAAAUGGAGUUACUAAAGCUAGAGUUUGGAAUGGCUUCAUGGAUUAACCUUUGGUGCCCAUCCAGCAAUCAUAUAUUCUUUAGCAGCUUUGGUUUUCUCAAACGACUCCCGAGCAAACAAAGACUGCACCAAAAAAAAAACCAUAAAUUUUUAUGCACAGAAUUUUUAAAAUAAAAUAAAUAUAUAUAAAAACCUUUUGUGUAUAUCUGAAUUUUGAAAAAAAAGUAACAUACCUUUGUGUAGUUAUGCACAUGAGUCAAACUUUCAGGAACAGUCCACUUCUUGAAAUGAGCAAGAGUCACCUCAAGGUGGUAAAGCUUUGGUGCCAAACUCAAAUCAACGGCUGUGAUCUUUUCUCCAUUCACAUAAGGUCCCUAUAUUUAAUAUGUUCAACUUACAACUUACUCAUCAUUCUAACAAAAUAGAGAUCGUAAUAGAAAAACAAACAAUCAUCUUCUUUUUUUUAUAAAUCUUACAUUAUUCUUGAGGUGUUCUUCCAAUGACUUCAAUUCAUCAAGCAAAGCUUGCUCUGUUCCAUCAUUGGCAUCCUUGCUCUUUAAGAAUGUCACAAACUUUGGGAAUAUCUUCGAUCCCCUAAAAGUCCAAAUAACAAGUCUAUAAAUGAUGCAAUUAUUUAAAAGAUUGAGCAAUAGUCGGUUUGAGUUUUGUAGUUGUUUAUGAGAAUUAUGAUUAUGGAUUAAACGACAAUAUCAUGAAUGGUCAAUUUGACUAGAGAAAUUCAAUGAGACAACUAUAGUCAAGGUACAACUAAUCUCAAUGAUGAAGUACCCUUAUAAUAAAAUACUGCAAGGGUCACCUAAUUAACAAGUACUUGACUUCAACAUCAUGGAGAAUUGAAAAGAAAAGAAAAAAAGACUCCAUUGCUUUAUAAAGUAUUAUACUUAUUUGACUGGUUUGUCUGUAUUCAGCAAUCCAUAUUUGGUUUUUUGUUGAUCAAGUAAACUAAGGAAGAAAUGAUCUAACCUUUCCCUAUACACAGUUUGCUAGAAGUAUCUACACAAUUAUCGACAGAUUAUAAAAAGUACAGAUACAAAAACAUAGGUGUUUAGCAUUUCCAUUAGCGUUUGUUUUGCAUUUUUGGACUAAUAUGUACACACAG
Molecule: long non-coding RNA, 7498 nt
Filed under: Lactuca sativa (garden lettuce)
Lineage: Eukaryota; Viridiplantae; Streptophyta; Magnoliopsida; Asterales; Asteraceae
Description: long non-coding RNA (LSAT_LNC007882)
Source: RNAcentral